This is a non-coding RNA of Anas platyrhynchos (mallard), 4343 nucleotides long. NCBI's taxonomy places the organism in Eukaryota, Metazoa, Chordata, Aves, Anseriformes, Anatidae. The record is from RefSeq and is a predicted model, not a curated record.
GCGGUGGAGGAGUGCUAGGAGGUCCAUGGAUGGUGCUUCAGGUGCUGAGGCCAUAAAAACGUCCAGAGUAUCCCGAAGGCCCACUGAAGCGGUUUCAGGGGACGGGCGCAGGUUCCGAGCAGCAGGGAGCUGCUGUAGGACACCUCCAUCUCUGAAGCGUUAUCCCGCUCAACCCACAGUGCUUCCUCCUCAGUUAGUGCUGAGCUCCUGCCGCUGACCAGCUCCGUUUCCUCUCCGUGCCUCAGGUUUGUGUCUCCGUGUCCCCACCCCGCACAGGAGAAACCCCAGGGAGCGAGGAGGAAUGGUGAUGAUUUUAAGUGAAACUCCCGUCUUUUGGUGACUGGCACAGCUGGGAGCUCCCUGUGGCCAAAAGUACAGCACUGCCUCAGUGAGCAAAGAUGGCAUGCAUCACCUCGCUGCUGAGUCUCCUGUAGCCCCUAGGGAAAAAAAGGUGGAAAGGGGAAACUUUUGCCCUUAGGAGAAGGGAUGGAUCUGUCAAAGCAUGGGAUGUUUCUAAUUUGUUUGCCCCAAAUCCAGUGCUUACCGAUGAAGGCCAUAAUUCUGUAGUGCUCAUCUUCUGGGUGAUCUCCUAGGGACAAAAUCACCACAGGAAAUUAUGUGGGAGAUCAGCUGGGAACAGGGCAGUGCUAUCUCUGAAAGCCCCUCUACCAAGGAGCUCCUCAUCCAAACUGCCAGGGCCUGGGGUGGUGCCUCCCUCACAAAACCAUCAUCCCAGGGCUGUGUGGUGGGGCUUGUGUCCUGGCUGCAGCUGGACAGGCAAGGACAACCUGGAUGGACUGCCACCUCCAACCCCGUGGUUCUCACUUGUCCCUGUACACCAGGGCAAAGGAGAGCAAAGCCCUGUAACACAUCGCUGCUCAGGGCAAGAGCUAAGUGUAAAUCUCAGGAGCUCAAACUCUCGGUUCCAUUCUGUGACCUUUAGGAAACCUUUCCAAGUGCUGCCUUGCAGUGAAAGACUCUUUCUGCAGAAUAUUUAGCUUGGCUAGAAGAAGCAGACUUUACCCAGAAAUCUUCUAAAAAAGGGGAGAGAAAAAAAAAAAAAAAAAAGAUCCCUGGCCUGUUUGCGUGAGAUAUCUAAGCCCAUUUCUAACGCUCCACAGGAGGCAGGGUUAAACAGGUGAAAUGGGAUGCUGUGCAUUAAAAUUGCAGCUGAAACCUCCUAUCACUCAUUAUAGCUGUAUUAUUCUGCACCACUCCUGACAAUGGAGAGCUAAGGAGAAAGUGCACGGAAAAUUGUAGAACAGCCAUCUAAACACAUAAUGUGGCAGCUAUGACAAAAAUGAAUUGCAAAAAUGCACUUUUCCCCCUUUCCGGUGGCUGUGACUGACCAUCACAUGCAGCAGCUGAGGUACAGGGCUGGCAGGACCCCAGCACCAAACUCGAUAUCCCUAUGGGACCUGCCUUUCCAUCUGGGGCAUGGAACUGCUGAUAGAGAGGCCAAGAGCCCUCUGUAAUGUGCCUGAUUUUCUGUCUCAGCCCGUUGCCCCGUGGAGCAAAGAUGAACAGUGUUUAGCUCUUCAAAAAAUAAAAUAAAAUUGCUAGCUCAUGUAAAAGUGGGAACCCAGCUCUGUUUUCCAAAAGCCUCGGAGAAAAGGCAUGCCUCGCUGCCUCUAGAUUAGAUCACAAAUUUUCUGGCUGAUGGCAGCAUCUUAGUGUUCACCCUGAAGGCAAGGAUCUGAACAAAUUACGUUUUACUAUCACAAGUUCAUAUAUCCCUGCCGAGUUCCCACAGAAGGCAGAGGAAGGUACUUACGUGAAAUGCAGUGGCUUUGGGGAACCCAGAGGAUUUCUGCUCUUGGGAAGGAGCAGUGAGGGAACCGUUGUGCUGCGUGUGUGGUCGGCAGUCUGCGGCACUUAGCACGUGUCACCAAUUUGGUGAAAUAUAAUCCUCUGGGGGAGAAAAGGCAUGUGAUGGAUAUGUGUGCUGCAAUCUGGAAUCACUCAUGUAGUUUAUUGCCAAGCCUUUUAUUCAAUCAAAUUCUUCAUAAACACGGGAAGCGCUGAUGUUGACAUAUGCUAUCUACUGCAUCGAUGGAUGUGCUUCUGCAUCUCUUCCCUUGUCAGAAGCGUUGUCAUCAGGCCCGAGAAGUGCCCAGAAAUGAUUUUGCUACAGGAUCUCACUCUCUCCUUGCUGUAUGCACGCAGUUCUCACCGAUGCCUAUGCAUUGAGAGCAGGAUCUGACCUUCAAGAAACACAAGGUGACACUCAUGACAAAACAGGAACAGAUGCAGCUGCAUUUCUAGUCUUGGCUCUGAACUCUUCCUUUGUUCCUCUAAUUGAUUGUUUGCUACCAAUAUUAAUGUUUUCUGUAAUGAGGAUGUUUUCUGAGCAGGAGGCAGUGGCACUUGUGCUCUCAGCUCUUCUCAAUGAGCUGCUCAAGUUCAGAGCAGGCAUCAGAGUGGGCCUGGAACUCCAACAGAUCCAGGCCGCAGGGCACAUUGUGUUCAGCUCCAGAUGCUGCAGAUCUUGGCAGAAUUUAGAUACAUUUGAUUUUAUAGGCAUUUCGUGUUCCCAUCAGGAGAAUGCUAAAGACUAAGGAGGUGGAUGCACCUAAACUGAGCAAAAAUAUGUUUGUUGUUCCAAACAGCAGCCCUCACUGGAGAAUACUGAAUGCCAUUUUAUGUACCACGUUCCUGGAAAACAACCCCGGCCUGCUCCAACAUCCCUUCUCUGAGAGGUAAUCUCCAAGAAGCCCUUUCUGUAGAGCUCUGCCCCUCUGUGUUGCUCAGCCUAUGUGGCAUACAAAACCUUGUCUUUAUUAGCACAAACAUGUCCUAGAGCAAGAGGAGACCCUUAAUGAGAGAUGGGUAAGGCUGAGUUUUGACAAGGAACUCUCAACAGCUGUGAGUGCUCAGUGCCUUCCCAGUCUCAAGUUUAGCCACAUGAAUUAAACACUUUAGUUUAGGCAUAAGGCUCUUGUCCGUUUAUUUAACCUGAUUCAAGAACAAACCUUUCAACUAUUGAAGACACCUUUAAACUUCCUUCCCUUUGCAUCUUGCCAUCCUUCCUCCAGGUAGCUGUGACCAGGACGACUCCUCUGCAGGGCUGUGCCCCUGAGGUGCACAGCAGCUCCCCAUACCGGUGCUGCUCUCAGCGGUCUGUGUAGGACUGCCACUGGUCCUGGUGUACCAGCACAUCCCGGUCCUGUCCUUGUCCUGCUGGGAGUCUUCCCUGCUCAAGAGGCAUUUUUGGAUACAAAUAAGUAGCUGUGGCUGUGAGAGGCGGUGUAUCACAUAGGCUGGCAGAGGAAUGGCACAAGUGUAUCUUAGAACUGGAGGGUCUGCACUUUGUCCCUCCGCCCUGCCCCUGUGCAGAUGUGUACACAAGUGUGUGUAGGAAAGGCACGUCUUGGGUUUUUACAGGGAUGCAAACCAUUUUUGCAGCACUUUGAGAGAAACAAAGAUAAUACCUUCUCAAACAUCCCGGUGUAAUCCCAUACAGAACGGCUCUCUGAGUUUUUCUGUUUGUUUUACGUGGGAGGGCGAGGGAUUUUCACAACCAAACUUCAAAGGUUAAAACCAGUGAAGUCAGCAGGAAAAUAUGUGAAUUUAACCUUUGGCUGUAGCUAUGUAAACCACUUAAUUUCAUGAAGUUUGCACUGGAAUGACAGAAGGUUUGAAUGUUCCGCUUGUCAGAAGGAUGUAAGCUAUGAGCGUGGGGAAGAAGAGCAAAACGGCUCAGUGAAGUGUUCUUUAAUGACUGCUUGUGAGCACACUCGGUAUGAAUUCAUUUCAUGGCAAUGCACAUGCAGAUAACACAGCCUUCUCCAGGAUUUGUGUAGGCUUCUGCCAUCCCUUAUCUCUGUCUUGAUGUGGAACAAUGCAUGAAGGUUGGUGGUGCUGGGGCAAGGACCCCACCAGUUACUGUUACCACAGGGACCGCUCAGAGGGGAAAAACAGCUCAUUCUCCUCGCAUCCCUCCCUGAACCUCAUCAGGACAGCUGCAGAGGGGGCAUCCUGGAAACAUUUGCUUUCCUGACCUCAAGAUGUUUUCUCCAUGAGAGAGGCCUGAGAAGAUCAGCGCAAGAUAUUUCCAGUCAGUGAGGCGUCAGUGCUCACUUGGGAUGCGACGCGUGGACCUGGUGGUGAUGUGCAGCAGGUGGCUGUGGGAAGGCACACACAGCAUGGCCCUGGGAAUGAGGGGAGGCUGGGCUUGAUGCAGAGCCACAGCAACACUCACUUGAGAAACUGGGCAAAAUAUUCCUGUGGUAACACUGAAACCCAUUUUGCUUGAUAGGAAAGAUUUAUAAUGACAUACCGUACAUUUUUUGCUGUGCCUUAGUUUCCCAGGAACAAAGGGGCAAUAAAAUGUGUUUUCUCGA